AAGCUGGCUAUGGAGGCUCGCUUAAUGAGGAGCUGUGAGGCCCCAUGCUACUUGCAGUGGGAUGAAGAGCUGGUGAGCCUAACCCGCAGGUGCAUUUCAGAUAAGGCAGCAGACAUGGGUCUUAAGAAUGUAGCUCCUAGACAGCAGCAGGCUGAGCAGAAAUACAGGCCACCUGGUCUUAGGAUUCCCAACUGUGAGGUUAUGUAAACUACUAGGGCAGAAUCAUCAACAGAAAGGGUGCAGCCUGUCAAAAGAUCCAAGAGGUAACCCCAGGCAGAAAGCAGAAGCAAGUGGAAGCCGCCAUCGGAGGGCAACCCACCAGCCCUUCUGGGGAAGGUCAAGGCAGCCAGGUGUGUGGAGACUCCACAGAAAGAAGCAGGAGGCUGCUGUGGAGCAUGCCAAAUUAUUGCAGCCCCUCCCCAGGAGGAACCUGGAUCUUGGGGAGCUUGGGUGGGACGUCUUCCCUCUGGGGCAGGAUUGUCCUUCUGGCUUGUCCAGGGAGAUGGUUCCUUCCCAGGCUUCUUCUGGCCAUCAGGCCAGCGCUGACCAUCCAAGUGCUGGGCCCCACCACAGACCCAGAAAUAAGCUGUGUGUCUCCCCCUCAUCUUUCUGUGUGUCUCCCCCUCAUCUUUCUCCCCCUCAUCUUUCAUCUUUCACUUCACAUAUUCAGCUUGGAGAAAUCUGGAGCAAAUAGGCCCAUCACCUCCAGCAGCCACACGGUGAUCCGGAAGCUGCUACUGCCUCCCUUGGUACUGCAGCCUGGGUCCAGUCCCAGCCAGGCCUUGCAGGAACCCCCCCUUUCUUCUUUGUGGUCUCUGUGCAUCACACUUGGGUUAGGCGCCUGAGCAGAGCCACGUUCCAGAACCUUCCAAAGCUUCACCCCCUCAUCGACCUCUGCUAGGGCAAGACGUUGGAGCUUUGCUCUGCCUUCACCUCAGAACGUAUCUCCUAUACAAUUGUCUACUUUAACGUCCUUUUAUUCUAUCUGUUUCUCUCUUCUCUAAGUAUAUCUGACCGUCCAUUUUGCAUUUUGAUUCCUUUUGCGCCUCCCCACCCCCCCACGCUUGGGAGGUCAGCAGCCUUGAAAUGUUUCUUGGCCUGUGCAGCAAAAAUCCCCACCUUGGACAGGCACGCAAAGUGUCUUCCUUGCUUGGGGGAGGCCCAUAAGGUGGACACCUGUACAAUUUUUAAGGGCUUCACCAAGCAGGCUCGCCACAGCAGAGAUGUGGGAAAGGUCCCUUCAAGCAAGUUUGGCAGCGACAGGAGGUAGCCCAUGGUCGGGACCUCAAAAUCGGAUGGAAGGACAGCCCCACUCUGAGUCUGAGCCUGUUGAACAACAAAAUGCCACGGUCGCUACUGCCGAGGUCUAGUGCAUGCAGCCGUACUCGAUCUGUAGCUGCCUCCACUGGAAUUACCCCCGCCUCUGCCGGGCUUACCUCCCGUUAUGGUACAGGGCGAGAAGGUGCGGCUUGCGUCCUCAAAACCAGCCACGAGCUCAAUCAGGGCAAAGCAGACCUGGGCCAGCCCUGCUACUCAGGCAGAUUGUGUAGGAGGUGGGUUGGACCCCUGCUACCCAGGUUCCCCCUCAUCCUCCUCGAGUGAGACAUCCUGCAAAUCUAAACAUCAUGGGAAACGUUAUCAUUGGUUUUACCACCCAUUGCUCUCUAGAUGGGUCUAUGCCCCACACUUUGAGAGGGACAGGCACCCUUCACACUGGAUGAUGGCUCCUUACACUGAUGUGGAGCCGGGGAACUAUUUUGGAUUUCCGUCAGGUCCAUUCUACAAAGAAAGGCUAAGGGAUUAUCCAGGCGGAAAGAGGAGAGGACAUAAGUGGUCACGCUCCCAUUCUAUGUCGGGAUAAGAUUCCUAGAUCAGAUUCUAGCCCUAAGAGGCGUAGCAGGAAACAAGGGAAGAAGCCAAAGAAAGCAAGACCAGCAGACCCUCGAUCUCCUUCGGUUCCAAGCGCUCCACUCGAGGUCCCUUUGCCACCCCCGAUGCCUGUGGAUCCUGUGCUUCCAGCCCCGACCCAGCCUGUGGACCCUAUGCUGCCAGCUCCUAUGGCUCCGCCUGCAGAGCCAGUAGAUCCAACGCUUCCGUCGCCAGCACCGGUGGUGGAGAUUGAUACUCCUGUCGAGGACCUGAGGUUGCAACCGCUGUAUCCACCAGGUACUCCAGAGGUGGAUGGAACAGAGAGUGCAACGGAACAGCCGGAAUCGGAGCAACCGGAGGGUGCCUCCUUAGCGGAACUGAAACGUUACACAGAGCAGCUGCUGUGCAUGGCAUUGGCGGCCUCCCUUGGGUUGGAUACUUCGGAGCUACAUCACACUGCUCAGGAUUCCAUCUUUGAGCUGAUCCAAGCGCAGGCUACAGGGAUAUUAGCCCUUCCCCUAAUACCAACCAUUGCCCAGAUAAUUAAAGUAGCCUGGGAGAAACCUGCCUCAGUUGCCUCCACUUCCAAAUGCCUGGAGGGCAUGUCUGAAAUGCAAGAUACACAAUACCUCACCAGACACCCCACACCAAAUUUGGUUGUAGUUGAAUUGGCCCAAUCGAAGUCCAAACUACGGCGUUUGACAGCUCCUUCAGACAGGGAGGGCAGGAUGCCGUGGGCAGGAGACUAUACUCUGCGUCCAGCUUACAGCUCCGGGUGGCUAAUCAUCAACCUCGCGUCUUUAUGAAAUCUAUGGCGGUGGUAGCGGCACACCUCCGGCUGCAAGGGGUGAUGGUCUUCCCAUUCAUCGACCAUUGGUUAUUGGUAGCAAACUCCCGCAAAGGCCUCAAAGAACCUUUCAGCUGCUCACCUUUCAGCUGCUUCGGUCCCUGGGUCUAGAGGUCAACUUCACGAAUUCGAAACUCUGACCACUGCAACGUGUGGAGUUCCUCAGCACACUGUUGGAUUCCAGAGAGAGCAGUGCAUACCGUGGCCCUCACAGGGUGCUGAGCAUAAGAGAGGCAGCCCUGCGUUUCUGCCAUAAGAGGUGUCACACGGCCAGGGUGGUGCAGAAGAUACUUGGGCACAUGGCUUCAUCUACGGCUGUUCUGCCACUCGCAUGCUUUCACAUGAGGCCUCUACAAAUGUGGUUCCUGGACAACUUCAAUCCCCACCUUCAUCGCCCCGACAGAGAUGUGGGCCCCGUGGAGCGUACUGGCAUAGGUACAAUGGUGGACGAAGUCCGCACAUCUGACGGGUGUGUGUGUCCCUUUCCAGCGCCCUCCUCCGAGAUUGUCAAUAACAACUAACGCUUCCACAUCUGGAUGGGGAGCGCACUUCGGGAAAUUCACAGUGGCCGACCUUUGGCCUCACCAUCUCAAGUACGAACACAGAAACUACCUGGAGUUAAUGGCCAUCCUCCUAGCACUAAAGGCCUUCCGCCACUGGAUCUGGGGACAGUCUGUACUCAUCUUGACAGACAAUGCCACAGCCCGCUCAUACCUAAACCGUCAAGGUGGGACGGUCUCUUGCAAGUUAUUGUUUCUGCUACUUGAGAUCUGGGCGUGGUGCACAAGCAGAAGUAUCUGGCCAACAGCGGAGCACAUAGAAGGAGUCUCGAACACCCUGGCGAAUGCCUUCAGCCGACAGACGGGAAACUCUCAUGAGUGGUCUCUAGAGAGGAAUGUGUUGAAAGGCUUGUUCCAUCGCUGGGGGACUCGGAGAGCAACAGGAAGUGCGUCCAGUAUUGCAGCAGGGGUGGGAUGGGCUGACGAUCCCUGGGUGAUGCGUUCCUUCACCACUGGGGAGGAGACUUUGUGUACGCAUUCCCGCCGUUCCCUUUAAUUCCAAGGGUACUUGAGAAACUGCAAAGGGACAGAGCAGAUGCGUUUCAGGUGGUGCCUUGGUGGCCGCGGCAACCCUGGUUCACUUCCCUCCUGCAAUUGGCCAACCACACCUUUGUGCACCUGCUGGUAUACCUGGAACUGUUGACAUUGGAGGGGGCCCGCAGGAUCCAUCUGAAUGUAGAAUCCCUCCAUCUGACGGCUUGGAGGAUCUGACGCUCCCCUCCCUCUCAGACUCUGUACUUAAAGUCCUGGAAGCAGCACGGAAGCCAUCUGCAUGACGCUGCUAUCCUGUCCAGUGGAAGAAGUUUUCUGAUUUUGUGGCGAAGUCUGGUCUAGCCCCUGAUCAGGUCCCGGUCCAGACUAUCCUGGAAUAUCUUCUGGCUCUGAGAGAGUCUGGACUGGCACAGGCAUCCAUCAGGGUGCAUUUGGCCGCUAUUGCUUCCUACCACACUUAUUUGGGUCUGUUUGUUGACCUGGUGGUAAAGAAGUUUUUGAAAGGGUUAUUAAAUUUGUUCCCAACUCAUCCACAUUUGUUGCCCAUAUGGGACCUUCAACUAGUUCUUCCGCGGUUAAUGUUGCCACCUUUCGAACCCAUGGCGACUUGUUCUUUGAAGAUCCUGUCAUUGAAGUGUUGGAGUUCCAUCUGGCGCAAGAACUAAGGCUGCCCGUUUUCUUCCCUGAUCCAUGCUUGGAGAAAGAAAGGGCCUACCACUCUUUGCAUGUUCGGAGGGCUCUUGCCUUCUAUGUAGAUUGGACAAGACCCUUCAGAAGGACAGAGAGACUCUUUGUCAGCUUUUCAGGCUCAUCUAUGGGCAUGCCUAUAUCAACGCAGCGAGUUUCAUCCUGGGUAGCAGAGACUGUACAUCUAGCCUACCAGCUGGCUAAGAAGCAAUUGCCGGGCCCUAUUCGGGCCCAUUCCAAGAGGGCAGUGGCGUCAUCGGAAGCCUUUUGGUGGGGAAUUGCAUUGGAGGAGAUUUGCAGGGCAGCUACGUGGGCUAACACGUCUACCUUCAUACAACACUAUGCGCUGGAUGUUCGUUCCAGAGAUCAGUCAUGCAUGGGGACGGCAGUACUUCACUCAGUCUCUCAUUAGGCUCCUCCCACCAGCCAGGUAAGCUAGCUCGCUAUGAUCUCAAGUGUGAUGCACAGAGACCACGAAGAAGAAGGGCAGGUUUCCUACUUGUAACCGUAGUUCUUCGUGUGGUCUUCUGUGCAUUCACACUCCCGCCCUACCUCCCCACAGCAGCUGGUCUCUUUUGUUCAGCGGCGGUCUCCUUGACUGAGGUAGUGUGGGGAUCAACCUACAAAGGGAGUGCGUCUUCCCGCUCUUUUUUCCUUUUUGGGGGGUGAAGCUUUGGAAGGUUCCAGAACGUGGCUCUGCGCAGGCGAAUAACCCAAGUGUGAACGCACAGAAGACCACUUGAAGAACUACGGUUACAGGUAGGAAACCUGCCCUUUCCUUGAUGCCCCUUUUCAUUCCUCAUUUCAUUCCACAUUUCAUUCCAGCCCCUUUUCAUUCUUCAUUUGUGUGUUUGUGCGUGUGUGCAUUUCUUUUAGGUGGCAUAUCUGAGCUGAGUAAGGUAAGCAGUGGCAGAGGUGCAUUUACUCCUGGAUUUUGGGGAUGCAGCCCUGGUGUCCAUACUCCUUGGGGGCUCCCAAAUAAUCUUUAGUCUGUCCUGGGUGGUGUGGUUUGUGCCCUCAAGAACGUAUGUGUUAAAAAAUGUUUAAUUUGCAUUGGCGAUGGGUGGGGGCUCCAAAGGCUUUUAGUUCCAGGCUCCAAAAUUACCUAGGUGCACCUCUGAGCAGAGGCGAUCUUGCCAGCAGCUCUUUCUCUUGGGGGGUUGUAAUUUUUAUCCCCCAAUUAAUUAGCAGAGCACUAAAGAAGCUACCCAUUCCAGUUACAGAGUAGUUGCAGAGUUUAGUUGUUGCAGCUAUUUAGAGAAGUCACAUGGAGAUGCUUGUAGAAUAAAUACAAAAUAUUUAUUGGUGAAGUACACCUUUGGAUAAGAAAGACCUAACCCUAAUUUAUAGAACAACAUAAUGAAUAGGUGGGGGAGAGAGAGAGAUGUUUCCAUCUGCUCUCUAAGAGGAAAGGAAGGGAUUCUUUCUGACUCUCAACAGGAAAUACCUGAAGAGUCCUAUUAGGGGUUAUAGAGUAGAGACCAAUAGAACAGUUAGGGAGCCCUUACUCACUAUCUCUACCCCCAAUGCCCCUAGUGGUCAUAAGGAUAGUUGGUGCAAAAAGUUGAUGCACUGGUAGUCCAUCUCCAACACUUUCCCGGGCUAUGCAAUGUAGUCCUCUACAUUCCUCAUUUGUGUAUUUGUUUGUUUUAGUUGGCAAAUCUCAGCUGCGUAAGGUAAGCAGAGGCAAAUUUACCAUCUAGUCUUCCUAGUGCUAUGCAAUGUGUUCCUUUUCAUUCCUCAUUUGUGUGUGAGUGUGCUUGUUUCUUUUAGGUGGCAAAACCCAGAUGGGUAAGGUAAGCAGAGGCAAUUUUGCCAUCCUGUCUUUCUAGUGCUAAUCAAUGUGUUCCUUUACAUUCCUUGUGAGUGUGUUUGUGUGUGUUUGUUUUUAGGUGGUGAAUCCCAGCUGGAUAAGGUAAGCAGAGGCAAUUGCCAUCAGGUCUUCCCAGUGCUAUGCAAUGUGUUCUUUUUCAUUCCUUGCUGUUGUUUUGUGUUGUGUGUGUUUCUUUUAGGUGGCAAAUCCGAGCUGGGUAAGUUAAGCAGAGGCAGUUUUGCCAACAGGUCUUCCUAGUGCUAAUCAAUGUGUUCCUCUACAUUUCUUGUUUGUUUGUUUCUGUGUGUUUGUUUUAGGUGGUGAAUCCCAGCUGGAUAAGGUAAGCAGAGGCAAUUGCCAUCAGGCUGGUUCUCUGAACCAGCCUGAGAACCAGGCUGGUUCGAUGGUUUGAUCGCGAAACAAACAGGCCUUCAGGAAAGGUGGUCCAGUCCAAGAUCAAGCCAAAUCAGCCCUGACCAGGAGGACAUGGCUCCCAUGUAACCGUCCUCUGUGAGAAGUGGCUACAUGCAUGGGAUGGCCAAUGGGGUCAGUGUGGCGCUGCUGCUACUUAUGUGGCACACGUGCUUCCCUCCUUCGAACUUUGCAGGCUUUGCGGCUCCCGCCCACCCUCCCUAGUUCAGUGAGAGAUUAGCUGGUCGCUUAUGGGCCGAGUAGGAAUUUUUGGUCUUCACCUGAUUGGCUUUGUGUGGAGAUUUUUUUGCCUACUCCUCACUGACUGUGUUUUAAAGGGAAUAACCCCCUUUUUAGGGGUGGGAGUCUGGUUGCAGGUUAAGUGGUCACUUUGGCAGGUGAGUGUGGGCUUUGGAGGUUAAGACCUCGAUUGGUGCUCAGCCAUAGGCACCUUUCAGGUAGAGAUGGUUUCAUGGAACAACCUUUCAGGGUUUUGUGGCCCAGGGGUGUCUCAGGUGGGUCAAAUGAGCCGUAAGCCAGAAUUUGGCUUUUAAAAAGCCAAAUCUGGUCACCUAGCGAAGGAACCACUUUUAGGGCACUGUUUAGCUGACCCACUCAGAGCUUUGGGGCUGGAGGGGUGGUGACCAGUGUUUCCUCUAACAGGGAUUCCCAGAUGUUGACUACAACUCCCAGAAUCCCAAGCUACAAUGGAUUUUGCUUGGGGAUUAUAGGAGUUGUAGUCCACAACAUCUGGGGAUCCAUGUUGGAGGGAACAGUGGUGGUGACCCUGGUGGCUACCUCCUUGACAGAGUAAACUGUGUGGCUUGGUGGGGCUAUGCUGAGGUUUCAUAUGGCAUCUGCCAAGCCUGGCUGCUUUGCCCAACAGUGAGAGGAGCUCAGCCCUCGCUAGGAGGCUGUGCCUACCCGAAAAGGGAAUUGGAGUUGCCCACACUCUAGUUUAUGGAGGUUAUAGUUAUACCUGUUGCAGAUCUCUGCAUAGUUUAUAGUUAAUAAAGUGGCCCUAGUUUUCAUCCAUA
Hemicordylus capensis (graceful crag lizard) is the source of this 7716-nucleotide long non-coding RNA. RefSeq lists it as uncharacterized. The transcript has 2 exons. NCBI's taxonomy places the organism in Eukaryota, Metazoa, Chordata, Lepidosauria, Squamata, Cordylidae. The record is from RefSeq and is a predicted model, not a curated record.